This 628-nucleotide ribosomal RNA is filed under the name uncultured Russulaceae. RNAcentral's name for it is "LSU rRNA". It matches the Rfam family "Eukaryotic large subunit ribosomal RNA", at positions 47 to 649 of the family's 3401-position model. Lineage: Eukaryota; Fungi; Basidiomycota; Agaricomycetes; Russulales; Russulaceae. The record is from RNAcentral.
UAAGCGGAGGAAAGAAACUAACAAGGAUUCCCCUAGUACUGCGAGUGANGCGGGAAAAGCUCAAAUUUGGAAUCUGGUGGUCUUUGGCCAUCCGAGUUGUAAUUUAGAGAAGCGUCUUCCGCGCUGGACCGUGCACAAGUCUCCUGGAAUGGAGCGUCAUAGAGGGUGAGAAUCCCGUCUUUGGCAUGGAAUCCCAGGGCUUCUGUGAUGCGCUCUCGACGAGUCGAGUUGUUUGGGAAUGCAGCUCAAAAUGGGUGGUGAACUCCAUCUAAAGCUAAAUAUUGGCGAGAGACCGAUAGCGAACAAGUACCGUGAGGGAAAGAUGAAAAGCACUUUGGAAAGAGAGUGAAACAGUACGUGAAAUUGUUGAAAGGGAAACGCUUGAAGUCAGUCGCGUCGACCGAGACUCAGCCUUGCCUCGGCUUGGUGUACUUCUCGGCUUGACGGGUCAGCAUCGAUUUCAAUCCUCGGAUAAUGGCAAGGGAAAGGUAGCACCUUUUUAGGUGUGUUAUAGUCCUCUGUCGCAUGCGAGGGUCGGGAUCGAGGAACUCAGCACGCACCUCAGGGUGUCGGGGCCUUGGCCCACGUUUACGUGCUUAGGAUGCUGGCGUAAUGGCUUUAAACGACC